RNAcentral lists this ribosomal RNA (912 nucleotides) under human gut metagenome. Its description in RNAcentral is "bacterial SSU rRNA". It matches the Rfam family "Bacterial small subunit ribosomal RNA", at positions 8 to 921 of the family's 1533-position model. The record is from RNAcentral.
AGAGUUUGAUCCUGGCUCAGGAUGAACGCUGGCGGCGUGCCUAAUACAUGCAAGUCGAACGCUUCACUUCGGUGAAGAGUGGCGAACGGGUGAGUAAUACAUAAGUAACCUGGCAUCUACAGGGGGAUAACUGAUGGAAACGUCAGCUAAGACCGCAUAGGUGUAGAGAUCGCAUGAACUCUAUAUGAAAAGUGCUACGGGACUGGUAGAUGAUGGACUUAUGGCGCAUUAGCUUGUUGGUAGGGUAACGGCCUACCAAGGCGACGAUGCGUAGCCGACCUGAGAGGGUGACCGGCCACACUGGGACUGAGACACGGCCCAGACUCCUACGGGAGGCAGCAGUAGGGAAUUUUCGGCAAUGGGGGAAACCCUGACCGAGCAACGCCGCGUGAAGGAAGAAGUAAUUCGUUAUGUAAACUUCUGUCAUAGAGGAAGAACGGUGGAUAUAGGGAAUGAUAUCCAAGUGACGGUACUCUAUAAGAAAGCCACGGCUAACUACGUGCCAGCAGCCGCGGUAAUACGUAGGUGGCGAGCGUUAUCCGGAAUUAUUGGGCGUAAAGAGGGAGCAGGCGGCACUAAGGGUCUGUGGUGAAAGAUCGAAGCUUAACUUCGGUAAGCCAUGGAAACCGUAGAGCUAGAGUGUGUGAGAGGAUCGUGGAAUUCCAUGUGUAGCGGUGAAAUGCGUAGAUAUAUGGAGGAACACCAGUGGCGAAGGCGACGAUCUGGCGCAUAACUGACGCUCAGUCCCGAAAGCGUGGGGAGCAAAUAGGAUUAGAUACCCUAGUAGUCCACGCCGUAAACGAUGAGUACUAAGUGUUGGGGGUCAAACCUCAGUGCUGCAGUUAACGCAAUAAGUACUCCGCCUGAGUAGUACGUUCGCAAGAAUGAAACUCAAAGGAAUUGACGGGGGCC